This 477-nucleotide ribosomal RNA is filed under the name uncultured bacterium. RNAcentral's name for it is "partial 16S ribosomal RNA". It matches the Rfam family "Bacterial small subunit ribosomal RNA", at positions 28 to 523 of the family's 1533-position model. The record is from RNAcentral.
GACGAACGCUGGCGGCGUGCUUAACACAUGCAAGUCGAACGGUAAGGCCCUUCGGGGUACACGAAUGGCGAACGGGUGAGUAACACGUGGGUGAUCUGCCCUGCACUUCGGGAUAAGCCUGGGAAACUGGGUCUAAUACCGGAUAGGACUCCGGACUGCCUGGUCUGGGGUGGAAAGCUUUUGCAGUGUGGAUGGGCCGACGGCCUACCAGCUUGUUGGUGGGGUGAUGGCCUACCAAGGCGACGACGGGUAGCCGGCCUGAGAGGGUGACCGGCCACACUGGGACUGAGAUACGGCCCAGACUCCUACGGGAGGCAGCAGUGGGGAAUAUUGCACAAUGGGCGCAAGCCUGAUGCAGCGACGCCGCGUGAGGGAUGACGGCCUUCGGGUUGUAAACCUCUUUCAGCAUCGACGAAGCGAAAGUGACGGUAGGUGCAGAAGAAGGACCGGCCAACUGCGUGCCAGCCGCCGCCGUAA